UACGGGAGGCAGCAGUAGGGAAUCUUCCGCAAUGGACGAAAGUCUGACGGAGCAACGCCGCGUGAACGAUGAAGGCUUUCGGGUCGUAAAGUUCUGUUGUUAGGGAAGAACAAGUACCGGAGUAACUGCCGGUACCUUGACGGUACCUAACCAGAAAGCCACGGCUAACUACGUGCCAGCAGCCGCGGUAAUACGGAGGGUGCGAGCGUUAAUCGGAAUUACUGGGCGUAAAGGGCACGCAGGCGGUUAAUUAAGUUGGAUGUGAAAUCCCCCGGGGCUUAACCUGGGAAUGGCAUUCAAGACUGGUUAGCUAGAGUCUUGUAGAGGGGGGUAGAAUUCCAUGUGUAGCGGUGAAAUGCGUAGAGAUGUGGAGGAAUACCGGUGGCGAAGGCGGCCCCUGGCAAAGACUGACGCUCAUGUGCGAAAGCGUGGGGAGCAAACAGGGAUUAGAUACC
Molecule: ribosomal RNA, 455 nt
Filed under: uncultured bacterium
Lineage: Bacteria
Description: bacterial SSU rRNA
Rfam family: Bacterial small subunit ribosomal RNA
Source: RNAcentral